Molecule: long non-coding RNA, 276 nt
Organism: Pogona vitticeps (central bearded dragon)
Lineage: Eukaryota; Metazoa; Chordata; Lepidosauria; Squamata; Agamidae
Source: RefSeq, a predicted model, not a curated record
CUGAAGGGCAAACGGAGCUGUGUCAUAUCUUAACAGGAACUGUGAGGAGGGAAAAGAAGGGCGGAAAAAAAAAACCCAAGAUCCGAGGAGGAAAUCAAGGCAACAAACAAGCAAGAUGACACCGUGGUUCCCUAAUUUGGAUCCUGGCAUCACUGGCCAAGCCACUGGUGACAAGAAAGUCCUGUAUUCGUUGGAGGCGCUGGAAAACGACACGGAAUCCAAGCACAUCUCGCAAAAACCGCACAGGAUCCCUGAGACCAUCUAGUCCAACCCCAC